AGAGUUUGAUCCUGGCUCAGAAUGAACGCUGGCGGCGCGCCUAAUACAUGCAAGUCGAGCGAGAAGACGUAGCAAUACGUUUGUAAAGCGGCGAACGGGUGAGGAAUACAUGGGUAACCUACCCUUGAGUGGGGAAUAACUAGCCGAAAGGUUAGCUAAUACCGCGUACGCUUCUUGGACUUCGGUUCAGGGAGGAAAGCGCUACCGUGGGUAGCGCGCUCUUGGAUGGGCUCAUGUCCUAUCAGCUUGUUGGUGAGGUAACGGCUCACCAAGGCUUCGACGGGUAGCUGGUCUGAGAGGACGAUCAGCCACACUGGCACUGCGACACGGGCCAGACUCCUACGGGAGGCAGCAGUAAGGAAUAUUGCGCAAUGGGCGAAAGCCUGACGCAGCGACGCCGCGUGGGGGAUGAAGGUCUUCGGAUUGUAAACCCCUUUCGGGAGGGAAGAUGGAAUGGGGUAACCCAUUCGGACGG
RNAcentral lists this ribosomal RNA (475 nucleotides) under uncultured Nitrospira sp. RNAcentral describes it as "bacterial SSU rRNA". It matches the Rfam family "Bacterial small subunit ribosomal RNA", at positions 8 to 475 of the family's 1533-position model. Lineage: Bacteria; Pseudomonadati; Nitrospirota; Nitrospiria; Nitrospirales; Nitrospiraceae. The record is from RNAcentral.